GGAGAACCUUGGAUGGCAGGUCUGCUAUCGUAUACAUUUGUUCAUGGGUAAGGCUGAAGGCCUUGUCCCAAGAAAUCGACAAGCUGCAUUUGUAAAGAGUCCAGGUACAUAGUACUGGAUACUCUAUACUAUUAGAGGGCUUGUAGCUCAGGUGGUUAGAGCGCUACACUGAUAAUGUAGAGGUCCGUGGUUCGAGUCACGCAGGCCCACAUCUACGAAAUCGUGAAGCACCAAACCCCAGGUCACAGAUACUUGGAAUUUGAAUUUUGGUAUUUGAGGUUUUGGGAGAAUGGGGGAUUAGCUCAGCUGGCUAGAGCGCCUGCCUUGCACGCAGGAGGUCAUCGGUUCGACUCCGAUAUCCUCCACUCUAAAGAUGUCAGAUGAUAGGCACUGGACAUCAGGAAAAAUGCAGUUAAAAAAUAUCAGGCGAAAGGUUUGAUAAAGGUUGAAAUAGUGGUAACGGAAAGCGAUUGACGGAUAACCGUUGACCGGUAACUGAUUACUGACUACGUUACCAGAUGCACAGAAGCAAAAAGCCGGAGAGCCGUUCGGAUGAGUGGGGGUGCUAUGGACUGGUAAGAAGUUCUUUGACAUAUUGUAAGAGUAGAACACAACAGAGCUCAUUGAGUAUUUAUGCUCAAUGAAUUUAAUAGGUAAUAACAAAAUAC
Molecule: transfer RNA, 668 nt
Filed under: uncultured Flammeovirgaceae bacterium
Lineage: Bacteria; Pseudomonadati; Bacteroidota; Cytophagia; Cytophagales; Flammeovirgaceae
Description: 16S-23S ribosomal RNA intergenic spacer
Rfam family: tRNA (bases 292-365)
Source: RNAcentral